GCACUUGACGGUUAAACUGUCAUUCUUCCACAUUCUGUAUGUGGAUACCUCCUCCUCUGUGGCAUCAUCCCCAAUCUCUUGUGGUUCGGAGAUGUCAAGAAUAUAGGAGAGCUUCUCCUGAGUGAGUAUGAUCUUUAAAUUUCUCAAUCAGUCCACAUAAUUGAGACCGGUCAACUUGUUGGAAUUUAAAAUUUCUGGCAAUGAUAGUGAAGAUGCCAUUUGUAGAAUUUAAUCUACAAUAAUUAAAGAACAUUAUAUAAGCAAACAACUCAUGUUGACUCAUACAAUUAAAUAAGGUCUUUAGAUUUAAUUAUGCCUCCCAC
This 323-nucleotide long non-coding RNA is filed under the name Elaeis guineensis (African oil palm). RNAcentral describes it as "long non-coding RNA (EGUI_LNC052841)". Lineage: Eukaryota; Viridiplantae; Streptophyta; Magnoliopsida; Arecales; Arecaceae. The record is from RNAcentral.